This is an RNA transcript of Otolemur garnettii (small-eared galago), 615 nucleotides long. It is a transcript of the gene named probable ribosome biogenesis protein RLP24 pseudogene, with no coding region annotated. The transcript has a single exon. The record is from RefSeq and is a predicted model, not a curated record. NCBI's taxonomy places the organism in Eukaryota, Metazoa, Chordata, Mammalia, Primates, Galagidae.
ACUUCCUCUCGAGUUUAGCUUUGGGUCUGCGGGGACCCACGCGAGUUCAACAUGCAUAUCGAGAAGUGUUAUUUCUGUUCGGGGCCAAUCUACCCUGGCCACGGCAUGAUGUUCAUCCGCAACGACUGCAAGGUGUUCAGAUUUUGUAAAUCCAAAUGUCAUAAAAACUUUAAAAAGAAGCGCAAUCCUCGCAAGGUCAGGUGGACUAAAGCAUUCCGGAAAGCAGCUGGUAAACAGCUUACAGUGGAUAAUUCAUUUGAGUUUGAGAAACGUAGAAACGAACCUGUCAAAUACCAGAGAGAACUAUGGAAUAAAACUAUUGAUGCAAUGAAGAGAGUUGAAGAGAUCAAACAGAAACGCCAAGCUAAAUUUAUAAUGAACAGACUGAAGAAAAAUAAAGAGCUACAGAAAAUCCAGGACAUCAAGGAAGUCAAGCAAAACAUCCAUCUUAUCCGAGCCCCUCUUGCAGGCAAAGCAAAGAAGUUGGAAGAGAAAUGGUACAGCAAUUACAAGAGGAUGUGGACAUGGACGAUGUUUCCUAAAAAUCUUACUGUCUGUAACCAUUUCUAUGUGUACAUUUGAAAAUGUUUUUUAGAGACAGAGCUUAUAAGUUAU